CCUACGGGAGGCAGCAGUGAGGAAUAUUGGUCAAUGGACGAUAGUCUGAACCAGCCAAGUAGCGUGAAGGAUGACUGCCCUAUGGGUUGUAAACUUCUUUUAUAUGGGAAUAAAAUGUUCCACGUGUGGGCUUUUGUAUGUACCAUAUGAAUAAGGAUCGGCUAACUCCGUGCCAGCAGCCGCGGUAAUACGGAGGAUCCGAGCGUUAUCCGGAUUUAUUGGGUUUAAAGGGAGCGUAGGUGGAUUGUUAAGUCAGUUGUGAAAGUUUGCGGCUCAACCGUAAAAUUGCAGUUGAAACUGGCAGUCUUGAGUACAGUAGAGGUGGGCGGAAUUCGUGGUGUAGCGGUGAAAUGCUUAGAUAUCACGAAGAACUCCGAUUGCGAAGGCAGCUCACUGGACUGCAACUGACACUGAGGCUCGAAAGUGUGGGUAUCAAACAGGAUUAGAUACCCUUGUAGUC
This 460-nucleotide ribosomal RNA is filed under the name uncultured bacterium. RNAcentral's name for it is "partial 16S ribosomal RNA". It matches the Rfam family "Bacterial small subunit ribosomal RNA", at positions 338 to 795 of the family's 1533-position model. The record is from RNAcentral.